This 478-nucleotide ribosomal RNA is filed under the name uncultured bacterium. RNAcentral describes it as "partial 16S ribosomal RNA". It matches the Rfam family "Bacterial small subunit ribosomal RNA", at positions 28 to 507 of the family's 1533-position model. The record is from RNAcentral.
GACGAACGCUGGCGGCGUGCUUAACACAUGCAAGUCGAACGGGAUUUAGUAAACGGAAGUCCUGGUGGAUGAUCACUAAUGAGAGUGGCGAACGGGUGAGUAACGCGUGAUAAAACUGCCUAUGACAGGGGGAUAGCCUCGGGAAACCGGGAUUAAUAUCGCAUAAAAUCGUUGAAACACAUGUUUCAACGGUCAAAGAUCUAACGGGCAUAGCGGGGCUGGCAUCGGUUUCGCAAGAUGGGAAGAUAACAGCCCACCAAGGCGACGAUCAGUAGCCGGUAUGAGAGAAAGGGUGGCCACAUUGGAACUAAGACACAGUCGAAACUCCUACGGGAGGCAGCAGUGGGUAAUAUUGCAACAUCGCGGAAACCCUGAUGCAGCGACGCCGCGUGAACGAAGAAAGUAUUCGUAUCGUAAAGUUCUGUCCUAUGGGAAGAUAAUGACAGUACCAAAGAAGAAAGCCCCGGCUAAAUACGUG